Homo sapiens (human) is the source of this 1776-nucleotide long non-coding RNA. Ensembl annotates it as long intergenic non-protein coding RNA 293. The record is from Ensembl. NCBI's taxonomy places the organism in Eukaryota, Metazoa, Chordata, Mammalia, Primates, Hominidae.
AGGCCCUGCCCACUAAAGGAAUUGUGACAUACCACUGAGUGCAAAACCUAGACUCUGCCAAGAGAGGGGAUUAUUACAUAUUGCAGAGCCCAGCACCUAGGUGGAGUGACUCUCAUCUUUUUCUUCUACCCCGUAUAUAGCCAGCUUGGUGACCUACUAUUUGAGUCUAUACCCAGGCCCAGACCACAGAUGAAAUUGUGCAAUAUGUGGAACAAACACCUAAACAAUAUAUAACACCUUCCUUGGCUCUGUCUACAAAGGGCACUUUUAUAUAUCACUGGGACCAUCAACCAGGUGAUAUAACCCUCUUCUCUGGAAUGGGCCCCACACAAAGGAAGGAUAGUGACAUAUUGCAAGCCCAGGCACACAGGCCCAGAGCACAGUUGAAAUUGUGACAUAUGUACACCAAGCAACCAAGCAAUGUAUAACACCUCAUUUGGCAAUGGAAUCGAGGGCACUUUUACAUAUCACUGAGACCAGCGCCCAGCUGAUGUGAAAUAUUGGCCUGAACCCUGCCUACAAAAGCAUUGUGGCUUUUAUCUAGCUCCAUUACAUAAGUGAUGUGACUUCCUUCUACUGCCUUGGCCCUGCACUUAUGGUGAAUCGUGACACAAAAUUGGGUAGAGCAACCAGCCUGGGCCCUGACCAGCACAGAGAUUGAGGCAUAUUGCUGAACCCAGGACCAAGAUGAAGUCACUCUCCUGCCUUGAUCCUGCACACAGGGACCCUUGUGACAUAUAUACAGGCCAAUUGCCUAGGUGAUGUUGUGCAAUAUACCUGAGACCAGAUCAAUGGCCUAAUAAUGACUCUUUUACCUAGAGCCAGGACAUGUGCAGGAUGGUAACUCUCAUCCCUGAACCUUUCCACAGGUGUUAUUGUCACAUAUACCUUUUCCAGCUCCAAAGUGAUUUAAUAAUCCAGCCUAGUUAUAGCCCACAGAUAAUAUUUGGACAUAUACCUGAGUCAAGAACCUUGGUGAUUUGACUCUCAUGUCUUAACAGUGUCCUCAGAAGGGAUCAUAACAUAUCUCUGGACCCAUCAUCUAGGUUAUGUGACUCUCUUCUCCUGCCUGAACCCUGCUUCCAGUGAAGAGUGUUGCAUUUCUAAGCACUGCAUCCAAAUGACAUGAGUUUCUUGCCUGGGCCGUUUCAACAGAAGGCAUUGUGACAUAUCUCUAGGUCUAUCAUUUAGGUGAUAUGACUCUCCUCUCCUGCCUGGACACUCUCCACAAGGGGCAUUAUGCCAUAGAGCUAGAGCUAGCAACCAAGUUUUGUGAAUUUUCUGUUAGGGCCUUGCCUACAAAGAGAAUUUUGGAAUAUUUCUGGCUUAGAAUUUAAGUAAUGUGGUUGUUCUGCCUGUUCAGUAACCACAGAGGAGAAGGUGAAAUAUAUCUAGGCACCGCAAACAGGCAUGAUAAUGAGUCUUGUAUGUGGACCCAGCAAAUAGGAGAAAUUUUGACUCUUAUAACUAGGUUUAGGAACAUGAGUGAUGUCCAGGAUCUCCUUCUGGUAAGAAGGUCACAGAAGAUUGCAACACUCACAAUUAUUUUGUAACACCUUUGGGUUGUAUAGGGAGUGUCGUAACAGGGCCAAACACACAGAGGAAAUUGUGACAGUCAUAUGCACACCUACCUGACAGUAAAGACUUUCACAAUCACAAAUGGAUGAAGGCAACUGUCCUACAUGAAAACAGGACAUGUGUGGUAUUGUACAUCUAAAACCUAGAAUUUUAUUCCAUUGUGACUGUGAUAUAAAUCAAUGCCAAGCACCUGCGUGA